RNAcentral lists this ribosomal RNA (253 nucleotides) under uncultured bacterium. Its description in RNAcentral is "partial 16S ribosomal RNA". It matches the Rfam family "Bacterial small subunit ribosomal RNA", at positions 524 to 776 of the family's 1533-position model. The record is from RNAcentral.
UACAGAGGGUGCGAGCGUUAAUCGGAUUUACUGGGCGUAAAGCGUGCGUAGGCGGCUAUCUAAGUCGGGUGUGAAAGCCCCGGGCUCAACCUGGGAAUUGCAUUCGAGACUGAAUAGCUAGGGUACGGUAGAGGGAAGUGGAAUUUCCGGUGUAGCGGUGAAAUGCGUAGAUAUCGGAAGGAACAUCAGUGGCGAAAGCGACUUCCUGGACCAGUACCGACGUUCAGGCACGAAAGCGUGGGGAGCAAACAGG